Molecule: RNA transcript, 1732 nt
Organism: Mus pahari (shrew mouse)
Lineage: Eukaryota; Metazoa; Chordata; Mammalia; Rodentia; Muridae
Gene name: ribose-phosphate pyrophosphokinase 1 pseudogene
Exons: 2
Source: RefSeq, a predicted model, not a curated record
AGCGGGAUCGCGCAUGCUCGCUGCGCGCAGCCUCGUCCCCCAGCGUGCCCUCGCGCGCUUCCUCUCGCCCGCUCUGCUCCUUUUUAGUGACUCCGGGGCACGCGCAGCGUUCGCGCGGCGAUUGGCUGCCUCGGUGGCGGCGCCACAGGCCCGAGGAACUACGCGAGCGGAGUGGGCGCUUCAGGAUCCCGCGGCUCCUCAGUGUCGGCGGCGGAGGCAGCGGUGACGGCAGUGACCACUGAGCAGUAGUUGCCCAAGAUGUCGAAUAUCAAAAUCUUCAGCGGGAGCUCGCACCAGGACUUAUCCCAGAAAAUAGCUGACCGUCUGGGCUUGGAGCUAGGCAAGGUGGUGACUAAGAAAUUCAGCAACCAGGAGACCUGUGUGGAAAUUGGGGAAAGUGUUCGUGGAGAGGAUGUCUACAUUGUUCAGAGUGGGUGUGGUGAGAUAAAUGACAAUCUAAUGGAGCUUUUGAUCAUGAUUAAUGCUUGCAAGAUUGCUUCAGCCAGCAGGGUUACUGCAGUCAUCCCAUGCUUCCCUUAUGCCCGCCAAGAUAAGAAGGAUAAGAGCCGGGCUCCAAUCUCAGCUAAGCUUGUUGCAAAUAUGCUCUCUGUAGCAGGUGCAGAUCAUAUUAUCACCAUGGAUCUACAUGCAUCUCAAAUUCAGGGUUUCUUUGAUAUCCCGGUGGACAAUUUAUAUGCAGAGCCAGCUGUCCUAAAGUGGAUACGGGAGAAUAUAUCUGAGUGGAGAAACUGUACUAUUGUCUCACCCGAUGCUGGUGGAGCCAAGAGAGUGACCUCCAUUGCAGACCGGUUGAAUGUGGAUUUUGCUUUGAUUCACAAGGAACGGAAGAAGGCCAAUGAAGUAGACCGCAUGGUACUAGUAGGAGAUGUGAAGGAUCGUGUGGCUAUACUUGUGGAUGACAUGGCUGACACUUGUGGUACAAUUUGUCAUGCUGCUGACAAACUUCUCUCAGCUGGAGCUACCAGAGUUUAUGCUAUCUUGACGCAUGGAAUCUUUUCUGGUCCUGCCAUUUCUCGCAUCAACAAUGCAUGCUUUGAAGCAGUAGUAGUUACUAAUACCAUACCUCAGGAAGACAAGAUGAAACACUGCUCCAAAAUACAAGUGAUUGACAUCUCUAUGAUCCUUGCAGAAGCUAUCAGGAGAACCCACAAUGGAGAAUCUGUCUCCUACCUGUUCAGCCAUGUUCCUUUAUAAUAUAACUUCUGAAGCAUUUUGAAAAUAAUACCAAACCCACCCCUUGUUUUUCUUGGUAUUGGUGAGUUCAGCAGAAAACCCAGUAACUUCAGUAUAGCUUUUUACAUCUCACAUUAGCUAUAUUUGAAUUUAUCCUAAAUUGGAGAAAGACAGAUUGUUAUUAACUGCCAGGAUGCCCUACCUACCUGCAUUGUUGGAUCCUGGCUUUCUUGUUUAUUUUAUUAGCCUUGCAGCUUUAAGUUGCGCUCAGCUUUUGAGAGAUGUAUAGACUAUUAAGAGAAUAUUCCACAAGGUCCUUAGGACAUGAUUGACAAAGCUUAUACUCCAUUGCAUGUGAAUGCUUUGGGUUGUUUUUGUUUUUUUUUCAUUCAGAAUAACUAGCAACAAAGCUAGCCCAUAAGUAAUACGUAUUCAGAGGUCUACAGUAAGAACCCUGAGCAUCCUUAAACAUAGUUCAGCAGUUGAGCAUCCUGUAAGGCAGGGGCAGGUAACUCAAUGCAGUAAUUAAUUUUUGGAA